AGUGAACGCUGGCGGUAGGCCUAACACAUGCAAGUCGAACGGCAGCACAGUAAGAGCUUGCUCUUACGGGUGGCGAGUGGCGGACGGGUGAGGAAUACAUCGGAAUCUACCUUUUCGUGGGGGAUAACGUAGGGAAACUUACGCUAAUACCGCAUACGACCUACGGGUGAAAGCAGGGGAUCUUCGGACCUUGCGCGAUUGAAUGAGCCGAUGUCGGAUUAGCUAGUUGGCGGGGUAAAGGCCCACCAAGGCGACGAUCCGUAGCUGGUCUGAGAGGAUGAUCAGCCACACUGGAACUGGGACACGGUCCAGACUCCUACGGGAGGCAGCAGUGGGGAAUAUUGGGCAAUGGGCGCAAGCCUGAUCCAGCCAUACCGCGUGAGUGAAGAAGGCCUUCGGGUUGUAAAGCCCUUUUGUUGGGAAAGAAAAGCAGCAGGUUAAUACCCCGCUGUUCUGACGGUACCCAAAGAAUAAGCACCGGCUAACUUCGUG
This 492-nucleotide ribosomal RNA is filed under the name uncultured bacterium. RNAcentral describes it as "partial 16S ribosomal RNA". It matches the Rfam family "Bacterial small subunit ribosomal RNA", at positions 29 to 507 of the family's 1533-position model. The record is from RNAcentral.